Long non-coding RNA from Mya arenaria, 878 nucleotides. RefSeq lists it as uncharacterized. The transcript has 5 exons. NCBI's taxonomy places the organism in Eukaryota, Metazoa, Mollusca, Bivalvia, Myida, Myidae. The record is from RefSeq and is a predicted model, not a curated record.
CGAAUCGCCCCAAUCAGAUAGCUCGAGUGGCCACAACUGCAGUUCAAAUACCAGAAUGCAUCCAUGCUACCUGGUUUUUGACAUUACUGCUGUGGACAGAUUUUCAGCGAUCCAGCCAGCCUGGUUGCUGAAGCCACAGAGGUAUUCAAGGACAAGAACCAAUGCUGAUCAAAACAUGGGCUAGUUCCAUACCCGUUCUUGGCAAGGAUUUUUUAGAAAGGAAUAUUGUCUGCAAAAUAUGAUGUGCCAAUAAGCUUUAAUUUGCUGCGGCUUUUCGCCCAUGGCAGUGGUCCUGCAAUCUAGAUCCAGGGGUUGCAGCUCUGAAUCUAAUAUUUCAGAAUGAAGAUAUCGGAAUUCACUAUAGUACCGUAUUCACCAGUAAGGUUUUAUCCAGGAUACCAUAGUGGCAUCUGGGAUUGAUCUCUUCAGUAAGUUGGAUUCACCAGUAACGUUUAAUCAAGGAUACCAGAGUGGCAUCAGGAUUUGAUCACUUCAGUACUGUAUUCACCAGUAACUUUUUAUCCAGGAUACCAGAGUUGGCAUAUGGGACGAUCACUUCAGUACCCUAUACCAGAGUGCAUUAUGGAUCUUGGAUCGAUGACUUCAGUACUGUAAUCAUCAUGAACAAUUGAAAUAAGAGACAAGAAUUGCAUAUGUAUCAAAUGCAGAGAAAUGUGUCAAUUUUCUUGCAGAGUAUUCCCCUAUCAAUAGAUCAAUGCAUCAUAGUUUAUUACAGUCAUCUUGUCAGUAGGCUGCUAAACUCUUGCUGGGGCGGAAUUUACUAUGUCUAAAAUACAGUGACAUUGUUAAAAUUAAAACAAAGCCUAAUACGUUCUGACUAACUAAGUGUAUUGGCAAAGGAUAUACAUUUUGUGGUU